GAUGAACGCUGGCGGCGUGCUUAACACAUGCAAGUCGAACGGACCAUAUUCGUAUGGUUAGUGGCAGACGGGUGCGUAACACGUGGGUGACCUGCCCUCAAGUGGGGAACAACUCCGCUAACGCGGAGCUAAUACCGCAUAUGUUCGCUUUUCAGUAAGGCGAGUAAAGCAGUAAUGCGCUUGGGGAUGGGCCUGCGGCGGAUUAGCUAGUUGGUGGGGUAACGGCCUACCAAGGCGAUGAUCCGUAGGGGGCGUGAGAGCGUGGCCCCCCACACUGGCACUGAGACACGGGCCAGACUCCUACGGGAGGCAGCAGUGAGGAAUAUUGCACAAUGGGCGCAAGCCUGAUGCAGCAACGCCGCGUGAGGGACGAAGGCCUUCGGGUCGUAAACCUCUUUUCUGGGGGACGAGUAAGGACGGUACCUCAGGAAUAAGUCUCGGCUAACUACGUG
Molecule: ribosomal RNA, 452 nt
Filed under: uncultured bacterium
Lineage: Bacteria
Description: bacterial SSU rRNA
Rfam family: Bacterial small subunit ribosomal RNA
Source: RNAcentral